GAUGAACGCUGGCGGCAUGCCUAAUACAUGCAAGUCGAGCGGAUGAAGGGGGGUUUCCCCUGGAUGCAGCGGCGGACGGGUGUGUAAUGCCCAGGAAUCUGCCUGGUAGUGGGGGGUGACGUCCGUUGACGGGCGCUAAUACCGCAGAAGGCCUGAGGUUGAAAGUGGGGGAUCUUCGGACAGCACCCUAUCAGAUGAUCCUAGGUGGGAUUACCUAGUUGGUGCGGUAAAGGCCUACCAAGGCGACGAACCGUAACUGGUCUGAGAGGAUGAUCGGUCACACUGGAAUUGAGAAACGGCCAAGCCUCCUACGGGAGGAGCAAGUGGGGAAUAUUGGCAAAUGGGGGAAAGCCUGACGGAGAAAUGCCGCGUGUGUGAGGAAGGUCUUCGGACUGUAAACCCUUUUGAGUUGGGAGGAAGAGCGGUAGAUUAAAACGUUCACGUUUUGACGUUACCUAAACAGAAAGCGACGGCUAACUACGUG
This 484-nucleotide ribosomal RNA is filed under the name uncultured bacterium. RNAcentral describes it as "partial 16S ribosomal RNA". It matches the Rfam family "Bacterial small subunit ribosomal RNA", at positions 28 to 507 of the family's 1533-position model. The record is from RNAcentral.